RNAcentral lists this ribosomal RNA (500 nucleotides) under uncultured bacterium. Its description in RNAcentral is "partial 16S ribosomal RNA". It matches the Rfam family "Bacterial small subunit ribosomal RNA", at positions 30 to 523 of the family's 1533-position model. The record is from RNAcentral.
AUUGAACGCUGGCGGAAUGCUUUACACAUGCAAGUCGAACGGCAGCACGGACUUCGGUCUGGUGGCGAGUGGCGAACGGGUGAGUAAUGUAUCGGAACGUGCCCAGUCGUGGGGGAUAACGUAGUGAAAAUUACGCUAAUACCGCAUACGAUCUAUGGAUGAAAGCGGGGGAUCGCAAGACCUCGCGCGAUUGGAGCGGCCGAUAUCAGAUUAGGUAGUUGGUGGGGUAAAGGCCCACCAAGCCAACGAUCUGUAGCUGGUCUGAGAGGACGACCAGCCACAAUGGCACUGAGACACCGUCCAGACGCCGACGGAGGGGGGCAGUGGGGAAUUUUGGGCAAUGGGCGAGAGCCUGAUCCAGCCAUUCCGCGUGCAGGAAGAAGGCCCUCGGGUUGUAAACUGCUUUUGUGCAGAACGAAAAGGUUUCUACUAAUACUAGGAGCUCAUGACGGUACUGUAAGAAUAAGCACCGGCUAACUACGUGCCAGCCGCAGCAGUAA